GUCUUUUUGAAAUAAUUUAAAGUCUAAUCUGCCCACUGAUAAAAUUAAAGGGCUGCAGUAUAAUGACUGUACAAAGGUAGCAUAAUCAUUAGUUUUUUAAUUGAAAACUUGUAUGAAAGAUUUGAUGAAAUAUAAACUGUCUCUAAUUUAUUAAUUGAAUUUUAUUUUUUAGUAAAAAAGCUAAAAUAAAUUUAAAAGACGAGAAGACCCUAUAGAGUUUUAUAUUUUAUUUUAUUUAAAAAUUAUAUAAAAAUUAAUAUUUAAAUAAAAUUAAUUAUUUUAUUGGGGUGAUAGAAAAAUUAAAUGAACUUUUUUUAAAAAUUAAACAUAAAUAAAUGAUUAAAUGAUCCAUAAAUAAUGAUUAUAAGAAAAAAUUACCUUAGGGAUAACAGCGUAAUAUUUUUUUUUAGUUCAAAUAAAAAAAAAAGUUUGCGACCUCGAUGUUGGAUUAAGAUAAAAUUUAAAUGCAAAAGUUUAAAAUUUUGAUCUGUUCGAUCAUUAAAAUCUUACA
RNAcentral lists this ribosomal RNA (511 nucleotides) under Melanargia ines. Its description in RNAcentral is "partial 16S ribosomal RNA". The record is from RNAcentral. Lineage: Eukaryota; Metazoa; Arthropoda; Insecta; Lepidoptera; Nymphalidae.